UACGUAGGAACCAAACGUUGUCCGGAUUUACUGGGCGUAAAGGGCGUGUAGGCGGUUUAUUAAGUCUUAUGCGAAAUCUCAUGGCUCAACCAAGAGAAGAUAUAGGAUACUGAUAGACUUGAGUUCAGCAGAGGAAAGCGGAAUUCCCGGAGUAGUGGUGACAUGCGUAGAUACCGGGAGGAACACCAGAGGCGAAGGCGGCUUUCUGGGUUGAAACUGACGCUGAGGCGCGAAAGCAUGGGUAGCAAAC
This 250-nucleotide ribosomal RNA is filed under the name uncultured bacterium. RNAcentral's name for it is "partial 16S ribosomal RNA". It matches the Rfam family "Bacterial small subunit ribosomal RNA", at positions 524 to 773 of the family's 1533-position model. The record is from RNAcentral.